RNAcentral lists this long non-coding RNA (519 nucleotides) under Rosa chinensis. RNAcentral describes it as "sRNA RchiOBHm_Chr3g0461081". The record is from RNAcentral. Lineage: Eukaryota; Viridiplantae; Streptophyta; Magnoliopsida; Rosales; Rosaceae.
CGGAGCCCCCUCAGGGCGUCUUUGUCGGACUGGCUCAAGGGGACCGAGUGUCCGAAGGAGAGUGGCCCAGUCGGAGUAAGAGCUAGCUGCGGGGGAUUGGCGGCGCUGUCCAGAUUGGUUGGAGGAUCUGAUGGGGAUGGACAACGACGGUUAGAGGUGGAGCUAGUGUCUUUUGCCAGAACGAAGUGCGGCAGGUCUGGGGUUGGGUUUGAGUUGAUGUCGCAUGAUCAGAGGUUGCCUGGUGGUUAUCUCUUUGAGGCGGCAAUGCUGAGAUCGAUGAUGCCCAGAUCGGAUCAGUGGGAUUCGAUCUCCCUUAGGUUGAUGGUGUUCGAUCUGAGGAUGAGCAGCACCUAGCCUCUAACCAACGUAACCGAUGGAUCGCGAUCGCUCUAUGUCAAGUUGGGGGCAGUGGUGAUGCUGCCGGUGGUCGGAAGGCAAGGGUGGUACAGGCGAGAUGGUGGCGUGGUGCCUCCUGCAGUCUUGAGUGUUGGCUCGGGCAUGGUGAUAUUUGGCCCUGGG